CCAAUAGCGUAUAUUAAAGUUGUUGCAGUUAAAAAGCUCGUAGUUGAAUUUCGGGGUUAGUAGAUUGGUCGUGCCACUGGUAUGUACUGGCCUUACUGAUUCCUCCUUCCUGAUGAACCGUAAUGCCAUUAAUUUGGUGUUGCGGGGAGACUGGACUGUUACUUUGAAAAAAUUAGAGUGUUUAAAGCAGGCUAACGCUUGAAUACAUUAGCAUGGAAUAAUGAAAUAGGACGUUCGAUCCUAUUUUGUUGGUUUCUAGGAUUGACGUAAUGAUUAAUAGGGAUAGGUGGGGGCAUUAGUAUUCAAUUGUCAGAGGUGAAAUUCUUGGAUUUAUUGAAGACUAACUACUGCGAAAGCAUUUGCCAAGGAUGUUUUCAUUAAUCAAGAACGAAAGUUAGGGGAUCGAAGACGAUCAGAUACCGUCGUAGUCUUAACCAUAAACUAUGCCGACUAGGGAUCGGAUGAUGUUAAUUUUUUAAUGACUCAUUCGGCGCCUUACG
This 500-nucleotide ribosomal RNA is filed under the name uncultured Glomeromycotina. Its description in RNAcentral is "partial small subunit ribosomal RNA". It matches the Rfam family "Eukaryotic small subunit ribosomal RNA", at positions 591 to 1092 of the family's 1831-position model. The record is from RNAcentral. Lineage: Eukaryota; Fungi; Glomeromycota.